GGCAGUGUGGGCCGCCAACCAUGCAAGUCGAACGGUGACGGUGGAACUUGCUCCACUCGAACAGUGGCGGACGCUUUAAUACACGUGAGCAACCUGCCUUUCAGAGGGGGACACCUUUUGGAAACGACUGCUAAUACCGCAUAAAAUAAUGGAAUCGCAUGAUUCUGUUAUCAAAGGAGAAAUCCGCUGAAAGAUGGGCUCGCGUCUGAUUAGAUAGUUGGUGAGGUAACGGCCCACCAAGUCGACGAUCAGUAGCCGGACUGAGAGGUUGAACGGCCACAUUGGGACUGAGACACGGCCCAGACUCCUACGGGAGGCAGCAGUGGGGGAUAUUGGACAAUGGGGGAAACCCUGAUCCAGCGAUGCCGCGUGAGGGAAGAAGGUUUUCGGAUUGUAAACCUCUGUGGACAGGGACGAUAAUGACGGUACCUGUCAAGAAAGCCACGGCUAACUACGUGCCAGCAGCCGCGGUAAUACGUAGGUGGCGAGCGUUGUCCGGAAUUACUGGGUGUAAAGGGAGUGUAGGCGGGAAGGCAAGUCAGAAGUGAAAAUUAUGGGCUCAACCCAUAACCUGCUUUUGAAACUGUUUUUCUUGAGUGAAGCAGAGGCAAGCGGAAUUCCUAGUGUAGCGGUGAAAUGCGUAGAUAUUAGGAGGAACACCAGUGGCGAAGGCGGCUUGCUGGGCUUUUACUGACGCUGAGGCUCGAAAGCGUGGGGAGCAAACAGGAUUAAAUACCCUGGUAAUCCACGCCGUAAACGAUGAUUACUAGGUGCGGGGGGAUGAACCCUUCCGUGCCGGA
RNAcentral lists this ribosomal RNA (800 nucleotides) under uncultured bacterium. Its description in RNAcentral is "bacterial SSU rRNA". It matches the Rfam family "Bacterial small subunit ribosomal RNA", at positions 38 to 850 of the family's 1533-position model. The record is from RNAcentral.